RNAcentral lists this long non-coding RNA (1208 nucleotides) under Notechis scutatus (mainland tiger snake). Its description in RNAcentral is "lncRNA (ENSNSUG00000010740.1)". The record is from RNAcentral. Lineage: Eukaryota; Metazoa; Chordata; Lepidosauria; Squamata; Elapidae.
GUUCUUUACCUCUCGCUAUGUGUAUAUUGUGUGUGUGUGUGCGUGCGUGUGUGCGCGCGUGUUUCCUCUGCUCCUUUUGAGCCAUUGUGCUUAACUGAAUUUUAUAACGCUGAUCGAUAUCUUGGUAAAAUAUUCAUUUUUAAACUAGCGGGCAGUGAAAUCUUUGCUUUGUGCUAAAGUCAACAGUCGCUCCAAUAAAUGCAGCGAUGCCUUUCCGCGGAAUUGCAGACGGUGGGGUAUCUGGCUUGUCAUCUGCGAUCUGCAGCUCUCUGGCAUCAGGCACUUAUUCCAUCAUCAAAGCAACAUAUAUACUGAGGUGCUUUGAUCUGCAGGAAAGGAUUAAGAUCCAGGCAAAAGCAUGCACCUUUCCAUCCCACAGGCUUCCAUUGAAAUCUGCUGAAGUCAGUGGAACUCAAAAGAUUUAUAUGGAAAGAGAUGCCAACCACAAAUGGAGGUCUGACACAGAUUUAAGAACCCAGAAGGUUUGUUUCAGAAGCCAAGAAAACAAUCACCAAUGGCUCUAUGGUGUUUAACAGGAUUACUUAAAGUCUGAACAAGAGUGAAGUCUAGAUUAUAGCGGCACUGCAGCCAAAUUGACACAGCAAAAAACCUCUGUGGCACCUUAAAGGCUAACAUAACAAGAUGAACUUUCAUGGAACCAGAGUUCUUUUUAUUAGAUAUGAUAUCAUCCCAAAAUGGCAUGUGGGACUAAUCUGAGUGUAGGAACAGGAAGAAUAUACCAGCAUUUAAGUCUUAAUGAAUAAUAUGCAAGAAAUGCAUGAGUGCAAAUUAUGGGCAUAAAAUUUAGUCAGAAAAAUGCUUGAACUUAAUGGGACAUGCUUAUUGAAACUUAUAUGACUGCCAAUUAAAUAAGGUCCACAGGCUUUAAAAAUACCUUUAUAAUUGAAUGUCUAGCAUUAUUACUACCAUAAUUAUAUUUCCAGUUAUAGAGACCAGUGGAAACAUGCAUUUCUGCUUUUGAAUCUUUUAAAAUCCUCUUUAUUUUCUCAAGUGUAUGGCUUGCUGUUUCCAGGUUUUUCUUCCAGAUAUUUCCAAGCUGAGUGGGAAAAUUCCAACUGCUAGGAAUUAUGGGUGUCCCUGGUGCUUUAAAAGGCUGGUCACUUCACAGUGUGUCUAAUCAGAAGUCUGCAGGGCCUUCCGUUGAGCAAAUGGCCUGCAGACAAUAAAGACAGCCAGGUUUAAAAACA